UUCGCCCUUAGGGUUUGAUUAUGGCUCAGGAUGAACGCUAGCGGCAGGCCUAAUACAUGCAAGUCGGACGGGAUUCAACAGCUUGCUGUUGAUGAGAGUGGCGCACGGGUGCGUAACGCGUGAGCAACCUGCCCAUUUCAGGGGGAUAGCCCGGAGAAAUCCGGAUUAAGACCGCAUAUGAUCACGUUGCCGCAUGGCAUUGUGAUGAAAUAUUCAUAGGAAAUGGAUGGGCUCGCGUGACAUUAGCUAGUUGGUAGGGUAACGGCCUACCAAGGCGACGAUGUCUAGGGGCUCUGAGAGGAGAAUCCCCCACACUGGUACUGAGACACGGACCAGACUCCUACGGGAGGCAGCAGUAAGGAAUAUUGGUCAAUGGGGGGAACCCUGAACCAGCCAUGCCGCGUGCAGGAAGACGGCCCUACGGGUUGUAAACUGCUUUUGCACGGGAAUAACCCUCACUAUGUAUAGUGAGCUGAAUGUACCGUGAGAAUAAGGAUCGGCUAACUCCGUGCCAGCAGCCGCGGUAAUACGGAGGAUCCGAGCGUUAUCCGGAAUUAUUGGGUUUAAAGGGUGCGCAGGCGGGGAUCUAAGUCAGGGGUGAAAGACGGUGGCUCAACCAUCGCAGUGCCUUUGAUACUGGAUUCCUUGAAUAUACCUGAGGUAGGCGGAAUGUGGCAAGUAGCGGUGAAAUGCAUAGAUAUGCCACAGAACACCGAUUGCGAAGGCAGCUUACCAAAGUAUGAUUGACGCUGAGGCACGAAAGCGUGGGGAUCGAACAGGAUUAGAUACCCUGGUAGUCCACGCCCUAAACGAUGAACACUCGAUGUCGGCGAUAGACAGUCGGCGUCCAAGCGAAANGCGUUAGUGUUCCACCUGGGGAGUACGCCCCGCAGGGUGAAACUCAAAGGAAUGACNGGGGCCCNGCACAGCGNNAGAGCAUGUGGUUNAAUUCGAUGAUACGCGAGGAGCCUUACCCNGGGCUGAANNGUACUGAGAUAGCAGAGAUGUUAUCGUCCUUUCGGACAGAAACUANGUGCUGCAUGGCUGUCGUCGCUCGUGCCCUNNNAGUGUGGUUUAGUCCCGCACGAGCGCAACCCU
RNAcentral lists this ribosomal RNA (1098 nucleotides) under uncultured bacterium. Its description in RNAcentral is "bacterial SSU rRNA". It matches the Rfam family "Bacterial small subunit ribosomal RNA", at positions 1 to 1105 of the family's 1533-position model. The record is from RNAcentral.